This 694-nucleotide long non-coding RNA is filed under the name Chinchilla lanigera (long-tailed chinchilla). Its description in RNAcentral is "lncRNA (ENSCLAG00000026798.1)". Lineage: Eukaryota; Metazoa; Chordata; Mammalia; Rodentia; Chinchillidae. The record is from RNAcentral.
UGGGACAAUGGUGCUCUAGGGACAGGUAAAAGGGCAGAAUGGAGUCUCCAUUUUACAGAACAUGAAACUAAGGCUCACACAGAAUAUUCAGCCCAGAAGGAAGAGCUGCUCUGUUCACUGAGCUCAGGUUUUUUUGGGUUUUGUUUUGUUUUCCCACGCCCAGGCUGUUUGAUACCGGGGGGAGCUUAACACAGGCCCAAGGUGUCCCCAGCAGAGCAUGCAUUCUCUCGGAGAACCACAAAGGUGGGGUGGAACCCCUUGAUGUCGCCCUCCUCUCCGCGGAGACCUCCCCAGACAAAACAAACAAGCCCUUGGGUCUGGAGAACUGCAGCGGGGAGCGGAAACCAAGAAAGAUCAAAGACCCAGCGGUUACCCCCUUCCGGGCCGCGCAGCUUGGCAGCUUGCCCCGACCCCAGGCGGGCACCCACCGGCCCCUGGACGAGAUCUGAGCGAUCGGCUGACAGCUCGGGGCUCCAGGACACUUGCCGCCUCCAGGAGCGAGCUGGACCCACAAUGGCCCGAGAUGCGGAGGCAGGUCGUGGGAAGACUGAAGAGGUGCCGCGGCAGGAGCGCAGUAGACGCUUGCACCAGUGCCGCUGUGGACGCCUCCCCCUACCUCAGUUUCCCCACCUAUAAACUGGUAACUGCUGAAUCCUGUUAUGCCCGCUUCGAAGAAAUACAGUGGAGGGGAGGC